MicroRNA precursor from Medicago truncatula (barrel medic), 124 nucleotides. It matches the Rfam family "mir-172 microRNA precursor family". From Rfam's summary of the family: mir-172 has been experimentally verified in Arabidopsis thaliana. This family is thought to target mRNAs coding for APETALA2-like transcription factors. NCBI's taxonomy places the organism in Eukaryota, Viridiplantae, Streptophyta, Magnoliopsida, Fabales, Fabaceae. The record is from Rfam.
UUGAUUGCCGGUGGAGCAUCAUCAGGAUUCACAAGAUUUUGAAGGGUUUAAUUUGUUUUGAUUGUUUCAAAUAGAUUAGCCCUUUGACAUAUGAGAAUCCUGAUGAUGCUGCAGCUGCAAUUAA